CCUACGGGGGACAGCAGUGGGGAAUAUUGCUCAAUGGGCGAAAGCCUGACGCAGCGACGCCGCGUGAGGGAUGAAGGUCUUCGGAUCGUAAACCUCUGUCAGCAGGGAAGAACGGUCACUGUGCUAAUCAUCAGUGAAUUGACGGUACCUGCAAAGGAAGCACCAGCUAACUCCGUGCCAGCAGCCGCGGUAAUACGGAGGGUGCGGUCGUGAAUCGGAAUUACUGGGCGUAAAGGGCUCGUAGGCGGUAUGUCAAGUCAAGGGUGAAAUCCCCAGGCUCAACGUGGGAAGUGCAUUUGAAACUGGCAAACUUGAGUGUGUGAGAGGAUAGUGGAAUUCGAGGUGUAGGAGUGAAAUCCGUAGAUAUCUGGAGGAACAUCAGUGGCGAAGGCGACUAUCUGGUACAUAACUGACGCUGAGGAGCGAAAGCGUGGGUAGCAAACAGGAUUAGAUACCCUUGUAGUC
Molecule: ribosomal RNA, 465 nt
Filed under: uncultured bacterium
Lineage: Bacteria
Description: partial 16S ribosomal RNA
Rfam family: Bacterial small subunit ribosomal RNA
Source: RNAcentral